This 433-nucleotide ribosomal RNA is filed under the name uncultured bacterium. RNAcentral's name for it is "partial 16S ribosomal RNA". It matches the Rfam family "Bacterial small subunit ribosomal RNA", at positions 29 to 507 of the family's 1533-position model. The record is from RNAcentral.
AACGAACGCUGGCGGCAUGCCUAACACAUGCAAGUCGAACGAGACCUUCGGGUCUAGUGGCGCACGGGUGCGUAACGCGUGGGAACCUGCCCUUAGGUUCGGAAUAACUCCCCGAAAGGGGUGCUAAUACCGGAUAAUGUCUUCGGACCAAAGAUUUAUCGCCUUUGGAUGGGCCCGCGUUGGAUUAGCUAGUUGGUAGGGUAAAAGCCUACCAAGGCGACGAUCCAUAGCUGGUCUGAGAGGAUGAUCAGCCACACUGGGACUGAGACACGGCCCAGACUCCUACGGGAGGCAGCAGUGGGGAAUAUUGGACAAUGGGCGAAAGCCUGAUCCAGCAAGGCCGCGUGAGUGAUGAAGGCCUUAGGGUUGUAAAGCUCUUUUACCCGGGAUGAUAAUGACAGUACCGGGGGAAUAAGCUCCGGCUAACUCCGUG